CGCGGCCUUUAUCGAUGCCGAUUCAGUCCAUUCUUCCCGCUGAAUCGGUCGACAAGAGCCAUGGUUUUACCGACGGUUGCUGUGAAGGUCUAACUUAUCAGCAACAAUUUGGGAAAGAACGGUG
This is a small nucleolar RNA of Salvelinus namaycush (lake trout), 124 nucleotides long. NCBI's taxonomy places the organism in Eukaryota, Metazoa, Chordata, Actinopteri, Salmoniformes, Salmonidae. The record is from RefSeq and is a predicted model, not a curated record.